RNAcentral lists this small RNA (592 nucleotides) under Pan troglodytes (chimpanzee). RNAcentral describes it as "retained intron". Lineage: Eukaryota; Metazoa; Chordata; Mammalia; Primates; Hominidae. The record is from RNAcentral.
AGUCCACUGCUGGGCCUGGAACACAGAGCAGUGGCUGCCCUGCGAGGAGGUCCUACAGCAGCUCCAGCAGGAUGGCGGCUCCAGCGUCUCUAAGGCCUGCAGGGGGUCCAGCCCCAUGGGGGGCGCCCUAGGCCUCCGACAGCUCCCCAUCUGUGCUCCUGCCUGCCGGCCAUCCUCAGGCCACUCGCCAUGGGCGGCUGCUUCUCCAAACCCAAACCAGUGGAGCUCAAGAUCGAGGUGGUGCUGCCUGAGAAGGAGCGAGGCAAGGAGGAGCUGUCGGCCAGUGGGAAGGGCAGCCCCCGGGCCUACCAGGGCAACGGCACGGCCCGCCACUUCCACACGGAGGAGCGCCUGUCCACCCCUCACCCCUACCCCAGCCCUCAGGAUUGCGUGGAGGCUGCUGUCUGCCACGUCAAGGACCUCGAGAAUGGCCAGUGGGUUCUGGGCCUGCCUGGGAGGGGGGAUCAGGGGUCCCAAGGUGGGAGGGUGAGGGGGCCAUAGCCGGGGGUCGGGGUUGGCCUGAAGGGGCUAUGACCAGCUGCUGCCCUGGUCACUGCCUUUGUGGCUUCUACCGGUCUGGGCCUGCUCCCCA